This 497-nucleotide ribosomal RNA is filed under the name uncultured bacterium. RNAcentral describes it as "partial 16S ribosomal RNA". It matches the Rfam family "Bacterial small subunit ribosomal RNA", at positions 28 to 507 of the family's 1533-position model. The record is from RNAcentral.
GAUGAACGCUGGCGGCGUGCCUAAUACAUGCAAGUCGAGCGAACGGACGAGAAGCUUGCUUCUCUGAUGUUAGCGGCGGACGGGUGAGUAACACGUGGAUAACCUACCUAUAAGACUGGGAUAACUUCGGGAAACCGGAGCUAAUACCGGAUAAUAUUUUGAACCGCAUGGUUCAAAAGUGAAAGACGGUCUUGCUGUCACUUAUAGAUGGAUCUGCGCUGCAUUAGCUAGUUGGUAAGGUAACGGCUUACCAAGGCAACGAUGCAUAGCCGACCUGAGAGGGUGAUCGGCCACACUGGAACUGAGACACGGUCCAGACUCCUACGGGAGGCAGCAGUAGGGAAUCUUCCGCAAUGGGCGAAAGCCUGACGGAGCAACGCCGCGUGAGUGAUGAAGGUCUUCGGAUCGUAAAACUCUGUUAUUAGGGAAGAACAUAUGUGUAAGUAACUAUGCACAUCUUGACGGUACCUAAUCAGAAAGCCACGGCUAACUACGUG